AAGCUCCAUGGUGACGGGACAGCGCGUCCGUGAGUGACAGCUGUCAACAUUUGGCAGUGUUCGAGAAUUGGUUCUUACUCUACUACAGGGAAAGGAGCUAGCUGUUUGCAGAGAGAAGAGGCUGCUUAGCCUCGUGAGCUACCAUAGCUGGAUGCAGGAGGGAGACAAUCUCUAGUCGAAGAGACGCAAUCUGCAGCCAUCUAAUAAAUCUGGGACAUUCAUCCUGGUAUGACCAGGCGGAAGAAAAUUCAUCGUACCAGGUUUUACUGCUGGAGGUGGAUUUAAGAAACUCUUAAAACUGAAGAAAUCUGGAGACAAUCAUUCAAAGUUACUACUCAGCGAAGCAGGGAUACAGGAACCCAUUGGAAGCUAGGAGCCACUGAGGAUUGUUUGCUCUAAGGACUGUAAUUCUGAGGAGAGUGUGAUGUAUGCUGAGUACAAAAAGGGGAAUGGCCCUCUCUAGUUUAAAGUACAAAAAGCAAAUAGUGUUUAGUCA
Molecule: long non-coding RNA, 496 nt
Organism: Carcharodon carcharias (great white shark)
Lineage: Eukaryota; Metazoa; Chordata; Chondrichthyes; Lamniformes; Lamnidae
Exons: 3
Source: RefSeq, a predicted model, not a curated record